AUGUACAGUGAUGAUAUCUACAUUGCUACCGUGCGCGUACCCGACGUUGGUGUCGAAGAAGGCGGAGAGAUACCGCCGGAGGUCGCCGUGGGCGGCGGUGUUGCCGAAGAUGAGCCGCUGCGCCUCCCUGCUCCCGCUGGAGUAGAUGUAGCUCUUAACCCCUUUGCGGUCCCACUCCGCGAGAGCUUGGACGACGUCGUCGUAGACUUCCCCCUUGAUCUCACCGCUCUCGAAGCCCCGCCGCCACACGCGGCCCUGCAGCUGCUUGAGCGCCGUGAGCUUCCGGUCCGCGUCGAUCAUGGCCUGCACGUUGGCCACCAGCGCGUCGAUGGUCUUGUCUUGGUCGGUGUCGUCGGGCUGUGGGAGUGGGACGGCGCCGGGGACCCCCUCGGCCAGGUCCUUGUCGAUUUGUGCGCGGAGGAGGGCGAUGUCUUCCCGGGUCUGCUGGGUGUGGUAUGUGGCGGCGAGGUGGGCGCGGGCGUUGGCACAUGCGUAGGGGAAAAGCACGUCGGCGACGAAGGAGAUGGGGGUGGUGGUGCCCUCGAUGUCCAUGACCACGCAUCGCUGCACAAGAACAUACUUGCACAGUUACAGACAUAG
RNAcentral lists this ribosomal RNA (600 nucleotides) under Triticum aestivum (bread wheat). RNAcentral's name for it is "partial small subunit ribosomal RNA". The record is from RNAcentral. Lineage: Eukaryota; Viridiplantae; Streptophyta; Magnoliopsida; Poales; Poaceae.